RNAcentral lists this ribosomal RNA (464 nucleotides) under uncultured bacterium. Its description in RNAcentral is "partial 16S ribosomal RNA". It matches the Rfam family "Bacterial small subunit ribosomal RNA", at positions 28 to 507 of the family's 1533-position model. The record is from RNAcentral.
GACGAACGCUGGCGGCGUGCUUAACACAUGCAAGUCGAACGGAAAGGCCCUGCUUGCAGGGUACUCGAGUGGCGAACGGGUGAGUAACACGUGGGUGAUCUGCCCUGCACUUCGGGAUAAGCCUUGGGAACUGGGUCUAAUACCGGAUAGGAGCCAUUUUUAGUGUGAUGGUUGGAAAGUUUUUUCGGUGUAGGAUGAGCUCGCGGCCUAUCAGCUUGUUGGUGGGGUAAUGGCCUACCAAGGCGGCGACGGGUAGCCGGCCUGAGAGGGUGGACGGCCACAUUGGGACUGAGAUACGGCCCAGACUCCUACGGGAGGCAGCAGUGGGGAAUAUUGCACAAUGGGCGCAAGCCUGAUGCAGCGACGCCGCGUGGGGGAUGACGGCCUUCGGGUUGUAAACUCCUUUCGCUAGGGACGAAGCUUUUGUGACGGUACCUAGAUAAGAAGCACCGGCUAACUACGUG